CAUCUGAAUCUGUAUAAAAUACUCUGAACAAUAUAGACAAUUUGCAAUCUCUAAUACAGCAUAUAUCGUGUCUGUGUUAUAAAUUGGCCGACCGGUGUGGGGGUUAAAAUAUCCAACUGUCCAAGGUCCAGCCUAGGCAACAGAACCAGAACCGAACCUAACAGAACUGGUACCAGGAAGCGAGGUACUGAUUGACCAGAUCCAACUCACCCCUUUAUACCUGAGAUGAGGUAUUGGUUAAGCAAUUGGCCGUGAGGAGAAAGACAGGCCCCAUUUACCAAGGUCCAUAUAUGGUGGAAAAGGUCCCUUGAAGAUAAAGACCCCAGAAGCCCCGAUGGCUCCCCUCUUGGAGCGAGGGCUCAAGAACAAGGAGGACGCAAAGCUAGAGACCCUGAUGGCUCCCUCCAUAGAGCAAGGGUCCGGGAAAACCAGCACUUAACUGCCAAUCAGGUGUACAAUAGAACGAUACAAGAAGGGAAAUAUUGUGGACUAUUACUUAUACUGUUUGUGGUGACCGCUUUUGUGGUUUGCUACUUCACCCCAGGUUGAUACAUAAGAUAGGAAAAGGCCAAGACCCAAAAUUAGUCAUAGUAAGGAAAAGAUUCAUACCAUUUAGAUGGCGAACCAAAUUUGGUAUAGUGAGUGAUCCCAAGAAAGUAAACAUUCUUUGGGAUCAGAGGAGGGAUGUAAGGAAUGUGAAAUAAUGGAAUAUUAUAUGUCUGACAUUAUCUACUCCAUUUUAGAUCUAGGAUUCCAUUUUAUAUAACAGGUCUCUGUAGAGACAUUUCAAUAUGUACUUUUUGAUUUUUGCUUUUAUUCUAACAUUUAAGUUUUGCGGUUUUCAUAAAUAGAAUAUGUGCUAGAUGGCUAGUUCCGGAGCAGGCAUUCUGUAUGCAAGUAACGUGUUCUUCUGUCUUUAAAGUUUAACAAUUGUUCCUUAAAAUCCUCUGAAAUCUGUAAGACUGAAACUUGUUAAAAGAGGAACAUCUGAAUCUGUAUAAAAUACUCUGAACAAUAUAGACAAUUUGCAAUCUCUAAUACAGCAUA
Long non-coding RNA from Rana temporaria (common frog), 1047 nucleotides. RefSeq lists it as uncharacterized. The transcript has 2 exons. Lineage: Eukaryota; Metazoa; Chordata; Amphibia; Anura; Ranidae. The record is from RefSeq and is a predicted model, not a curated record.